UCAAAGCUGGUGUCAUACAAAGUGUA
RNAcentral lists this non-coding RNA (26 nucleotides) under Mus musculus (house mouse). The record is from RNAcentral. Lineage: Eukaryota; Metazoa; Chordata; Mammalia; Rodentia; Muridae.